CCUACGGGGGGCAGCAGUGGGGAAUAUUGCACAAUGGGGGAAACCCUGAUGCAGCGACGCCGCGUGAGUGAAGAAGGAAUUCGGUAUGUAAAGCUCUAUCAGCAGGGAAGAAAAUGACGGUACCUGAGUAAGAAGCCCCGGCUAACUACGUGCCAGCAGCCGCGGUAAUACGUAGGGGGCAAGCGUUAUCCGGAUUUACUGGGUGAAAAGGGAGCGUAGACGGCAGUGCAAGUCUGGAGUGAAAGGCGGGGGCUCAACCCCCGGACUGCUCGGGAAACUGUACGGCUGGAGUGCAGGAGAGGUAAGUGGCCUUCCUCGUGUAGCGGUGCACUGCGUCGCUCUUAGGCGGCACACCAGUGGCGACGGCGGCUUACUGGACUGUAACUGACGUUGAGGCUC
Molecule: ribosomal RNA, 399 nt
Filed under: uncultured bacterium
Lineage: Bacteria
Description: partial 16S ribosomal RNA
Rfam family: Bacterial small subunit ribosomal RNA
Source: RNAcentral